This is a long non-coding RNA of Anastrepha ludens (Mexican fruit fly), 584 nucleotides long. RefSeq lists it as uncharacterized. The record is from RefSeq and is a predicted model, not a curated record. Lineage: Eukaryota; Metazoa; Arthropoda; Insecta; Diptera; Tephritidae. The transcript is spliced from 3 exons.
GUUGCCCUGGCACCCAUAUCAAAAGGUUGAGGAAAUAUUUCGCCACCUCUAUAAGCGACGCUCGGCAUUUAUGAGAAAUGACGGAAUUAGUGUCAACCCCACCAAGAGAUUUAAUCGCCGCCUGACAUUCGGAAAUUUCAGACUGAAAUACUCUUCAGUGAUUGGGAAAACGGGACGAAUCGCUUACUCUUGGCUUUUUACAGUAGAGACCAAAUCCAACUUUAUGGUCAAGCUUUGAGCCAUCCAGCUGAUCCCAUAGUUCUGCAACAAGGCAUAUGCCCGUCCAAUGCCUUAUAUUUCGUAACCAUGAUAACUGCUUCCGGCCAACGCAUCGUUCAAUUUAAAGCAUUUUUGUUUUCGAAAAACUUUACAAUUUAUUUCAUAGGUUAAAAAAUAAGUGGUCCUGUGUUUGUUACUUUACAAUUUACCAAGUUCACCGAUCCCAGCUGAUGUCGGAAUUCGAGUGUCGAAAUAUUUACUUAGCUCUGAUUAUAUUAUAUAUAUAUAUAUGUGCGUGAGAAUGCAAGUCGAUACGAAUAUUUGAAAAUGGCAAAUAUGUGAUAAUGUGUAUUAAUAUAAUGCAA